AGAUCAUUUUGGGGGCAAUUUCUAAGUAACCCCUUAUAAUGCUCCCAAGCUUCAUAAAGUGAUUCACCUGGUUGUUGCUCAAAGUUGGCAAUUGCCUUCUUGAGUUU
Molecule: small nucleolar RNA, 107 nt
Organism: Lactuca sativa (garden lettuce)
Lineage: Eukaryota; Viridiplantae; Streptophyta; Magnoliopsida; Asterales; Asteraceae
Source: RefSeq, a predicted model, not a curated record